Aedes albopictus (Asian tiger mosquito) is the source of this 641-nucleotide long non-coding RNA. RefSeq lists it as uncharacterized. The transcript is spliced from 2 exons. NCBI's taxonomy places the organism in Eukaryota, Metazoa, Arthropoda, Insecta, Diptera, Culicidae. The record is from RefSeq and is a predicted model, not a curated record.
CCAACCUUGGCUCUCGCUACCUCCCAGUCUGUUGUCACCAGGCUUGGUAUUGGUCAUGAACUUCACAAGCAUGCUACGGUUUGACUCGAAUCAUGCGUCGCUAUUGAACGCGAAGUAAGCAAACAAAGAUCACAUAGGCAAAGCACAUUUUCGCGAUUUAGAAACCAUGGGCAACCGUCAUGAUUUGCUUUAUUACUUGACCUUCAAUUAAUCUGACCAUCGGCUGUUUGACCAUCGUUGAAGGAGACUGCAGUGGCAGUACGUUUUUGAUUUAUUGAAUUGAAAUGGACUUAUUCAAAGAUGAAGGACGAAUUUGGAUGGCUCCAGGGCUUAAAAAAUGUUUCUUUCCUGCGCAGAAGAGAAUAAUACAGAGGAUAAUACAACUUACGAAGAGUCUUUUAGUACACAGAUCCAGCUGGUACCGUUGACUCGGAAUCUCAUAACAGGCUUUCGUUGAUGUUAUAAACGCAUUCCUUGGAUAGUAUAAGAGGAAAGAGCGAUGCAUUCCUCCGAUAACAUACGCUCUCUGGAGUUUCAACGAUGGUUGAGUAGCCUUGCAUACUCAUCACCUGCAUUGAAGCCGCGUUUUCCAAAUGAUUCGUUUUUGCCAUGUAAAUAAAAGAGGACUUUUACCAAAUUCA